AAGUUUAGGUUAAACAAACCAAAGACCUUCAAAGUCUAAAAUAAGCCCAUAUCGCUUAACUUCU
Molecule: transfer RNA, 64 nt
Filed under: Cyrtodactylus rosichonarieforum (Rosichonariefi's bent-toed Gecko)
Lineage: Eukaryota; Metazoa; Chordata; Lepidosauria; Squamata; Gekkonidae
Description: tRNA-Trp
Source: RNAcentral